RNAcentral lists this ribosomal RNA (236 nucleotides) under uncultured bacterium. Its description in RNAcentral is "partial 16S ribosomal RNA". It matches the Rfam family "Bacterial small subunit ribosomal RNA", at positions 336 to 586 of the family's 1533-position model. The record is from RNAcentral.
CGCCUACGGGAGGCAGCAGUGGGGAAUAUUGGGCAAUGGGCGCAAGCCUGACCCAGCAACGCCGCGUGAAGGAAGAAGGCUUUCGGGUUGUAAACUUCUUUUCUCAGGGACGAAGCAAGUGACGGUACCUGAGGAAUAAGCCACGGCUAACUACGUGCCAGCAGCCGCGGUAAUACGUAGGUGGCAAGCGUUAUCCGGAUUUAUUGGGUUUAAAGGGUGCGCAGGCGGGAGAUCAA